This 75-nucleotide transfer RNA is filed under the name Vreelandella halophila. RNAcentral describes it as "tRNA-Gln". It matches the Rfam family "tRNA". Rfam says of the family: Transfer RNA (tRNA) molecules are approximately 80 nucleotides in length. RNAcentral also lists the same sequence under 7 other names. The record is from RNAcentral. Lineage: Bacteria; Pseudomonadati; Pseudomonadota; Gammaproteobacteria; Oceanospirillales; Halomonadaceae.
UGGGGUGUCGCCAAGUGGUAAGGCAGCGGGUUUUGAUCCCGUCAUUCGCAGGUUCGAAUCCUGCCACCCCAGCCA